RNAcentral lists this ribosomal RNA (301 nucleotides) under uncultured bacterium. Its description in RNAcentral is "partial 16S ribosomal RNA". It matches the Rfam family "Bacterial small subunit ribosomal RNA", at positions 509 to 809 of the family's 1533-position model. The record is from RNAcentral.
CAGUCGCCACGGGAAUACGAGGGGGGCAAGCGUUGUUCGGAAUUAUUGGGCGUAAAGGGCGCGUAGGCGGCGAUCAAAGUCAGGCGUGAAAUUCCUGGGCUCAACCUGGGGGCUGCGCUUGAUACUUGGUUGCUUGAGUGGGGAAGAGGGUCGUGGAAUUCCCAGUGUAGAGGUGAAAUUCGUAGAUAUUGGGAAGAACACCGGUGGCGAAGGCGGCGACCUGGUCCUUGACUGACGCUGAGGCGCGAAAGCGUGGGGAGCAAACAGGAUUAGAUACCCCCGUAGUCCCUGUCUCUUAUAU